AAGCUCGUAGUUGGAUUUCUGUUAAUAAUUUAUAUAAAAUAUUUUGAAUAUUUAUAUAACAUUAACAUAAUUCAUAUUACUAUAUUUUUUAGUAUACGAAAUUUUACUUUGAGAAAAUUAGAGUGCUUAAAGCAGGCAUAUGCCUUGAAUACUCCAGCAUGGAAUAAUAUUAAAGAUUUUUAUCUUUUUUAUUGGUUCUAAGAUAAGAAUAAUGAUUAAUAGGGACAGUUGGGGGCAUUUGUAUUUAACAGUCAGAGGUGAAAUUCUUAGAUUUGUUAAAGACAAACUAAUGCGAAAGCAUUUGCCAAGGAUGUUUUCAUUAAUCAAGAACGAAAGUUAGGGGAUCGAAGACGAUCAGAUACCGUCGUAGUCUUAACCAUAAACUAUGCCAACUGGAGAUUGGAGGUUGUUCCUUACUCCUUCAGCACCUUA
RNAcentral lists this ribosomal RNA (432 nucleotides) under Cryptosporidium parvum. Its description in RNAcentral is "SSU rRNA". It matches the Rfam family "Eukaryotic small subunit ribosomal RNA", at positions 624 to 1090 of the family's 1831-position model. The record is from RNAcentral. Lineage: Eukaryota; Apicomplexa; Conoidasida; Eucoccidiorida; Cryptosporidiidae.